AAUGAACGCUGGCGGCAGGCCUAACACAUGCAAGUCGAGCGAGCGGCGGACGGGUGAGUAAUGUAUGGGGAUCUGCUCUAUAGAGGGGGAUAACUACUGGAAACGGUGGCUAAUACCGCAUACUUUCGGAUGAACCCAUAUGUCAUUAGCUAUUAGGUGGGGUAAAGGCUCACCUAGGCGACGAUCUAUAGCUGGUCUGAGAGGAUGAUCAGCCACACUGGAACUGAGACACGGCCCAGACUCCUACGGGAGGCAGCAGUGGGGAAUAUUGCACAAUGGGCGCAAGCCUGAUGCAGCCAUGCCGCGUGUGUGAAGAAGGCCUUAGGGUUGUAAAGUACUUUCAGCGGGGAGGCGGUACCCGCAGAAGAAGCACCGGCUAACUCCGUGCCAGCAGCCGCGGUAAUUC
RNAcentral lists this ribosomal RNA (406 nucleotides) under uncultured bacterium. RNAcentral's name for it is "partial 16S ribosomal RNA". It matches the Rfam family "Bacterial small subunit ribosomal RNA", at positions 29 to 526 of the family's 1533-position model. The record is from RNAcentral.